AAUGAACGUUGGCGGCGUGGAUUAGGCAUGCAAGUCGCGCGAGAAAUUUUCUUCGGAGAAUGGAAAGCGGCGGAAGGGAGAGGAUAAGGUAGAAAUCUGCCCUCGGGACGGGGAUAGCUGCGGGAAACUGCUGGUAAUACCCGAUAAUAUCUUUGGAUCAAAGGUGUGAUUCCGCCUGAGGAUGAGUCUACUUCCUAUUAGCUAGUUGGCAGGGUAAUGGCCUAACAAGGCAACGAUGGGUAGCGGGUGUGAGAGCAUGACCCGCCUCACUGGGACUGAGAACUGCCCAGACACCUAUGGGUGGCUGCAGUCGAGAAUCCUCGGCAAUGGGCGCAAGCCUGACCGAGCGACGCCGCGUGCGGGAUGAAGGCCUUCGGGUUGUAAACCGCUGUCGUAGAGGAGCAAAUGCAUGGGGGUUCUCCCCUGUGCUUGAGUGAUUCUAGGAGGAAGGGGAGGCUAAGCUCGUGCCAGCCGCCGCGGUAA
Molecule: ribosomal RNA, 483 nt
Filed under: uncultured bacterium
Lineage: Bacteria
Description: partial 16S ribosomal RNA
Rfam family: Bacterial small subunit ribosomal RNA
Source: RNAcentral